UGGGGAAUAUUGGACAAUGGGCGCAAGCCUGAUCCAGCAAUGCCGCGUGUGUGAAGAAGGCCCUCGGGUUGUAAAGCACUUUUAUCAGGAGCGAAAUCUGCAAGGCUAAUACCCUUGUAGUCUGACGGUACCUGAGGAAUAAGCACCGGCUAACUCCGUGCCAGCAGCCGCGGUAAUACGGAGGGUGCAAGCGUUAAUCGGAAUUACUGGGCGUAAAGCGUGUGUAGGCGGUUUGUUAAGUCUGUUGUGAAAGCCCCGGGCUCAACCUGGGAAUGGCAAUGGAUACUGGCAAGCUAGAGUGUGAUAGAGGACGGUGGAAUUCCCGGUGUAGCGGUGAAAUGCGUAGAGAUCGGGAGGAACAUCAGUGGCGAAGGCGGCCAUCUGGAUCAACACUGACGCUGAGACACGAAAUGCNUGUGAGCAAACAGGAUUAGAUACCCUGGUAGUCCACGCCCUAAAACGAUGCGAACUGGAUGUUGGUCUCAACUCGGAGAUCAGUGUCGAAGCUAACGCGUUAAGUUCGCCGCCUGGGGAGUGCGGUCGCAAGACUGAAACUCAAA
RNAcentral lists this ribosomal RNA (560 nucleotides) under uncultured bacterium. RNAcentral's name for it is "partial 16S ribosomal RNA". It matches the Rfam family "Bacterial small subunit ribosomal RNA", at positions 355 to 905 of the family's 1533-position model. The record is from RNAcentral.